RNAcentral lists this ribosomal RNA (1238 nucleotides) under metagenome. RNAcentral describes it as "bacterial LSU rRNA". It matches the Rfam family "Bacterial large subunit ribosomal RNA", at positions 1707 to 2925 of the family's 2925-position model. The record is from RNAcentral.
CGUGAACUCGGCAAAAUGCCCCCGUAACUUCGGGAGAAGGGGGGCCGGAUGCGUUACAUGGCUUGCCCAUGGAAGCGUUGAUGGCCGCAGAGACCAGGCCCAAGCGACUGUUUACUAAAAACACAGGUCCGUGCGAAGAAGUAAUUCGAUGUAUACGGACUGACGCCUGCCCGGUGCUGGAACGUUAAGGGGACAGGUUAGCUGGUUUAGGCCGGCGAAGCUUUGAACUUAAGCGCCAGUAAACGGCGGUGGUAAAUAACCAUCCUAAGGUAGCGAAAUUCCUUGUCGGGUAAGUUCCGACCUGCACGAAUGGCGUAACGACUUGGGCGCUGUCUCAACCAUGGACUCGGCGAAAUUGCAUUACGAGUAAAGAUGCUCGUUACGCGCAGCAGGACGGAAAGACCCCGGGACCUUUACUACAACUUGGUAUUGGUGGUCGGUACAACUUGUGUAGUAUAGGUGGGAGACUGUGAAAUCCGGACGCCAGUUCGGGUGGAGUCAUCGUUGAAAUACCACUCUGGUUGUUCUGGCUGUCUAACUUCGGUCCAUUAUCUGGAUCAGGGACAGUGCCUGGUGGGUAGUUUGACUGGGGCGGUCGCCUCCUAAAAGGUAACGGAGGCGCUCAAAGGUUCCCUCAGCCUGGUUGGCAAUCAGGUGUCGAGUGUAAGUGCACAAGGGAGCUUGACUGUGAGACAGACAUGUCGAGCAGGGACGAAAGUCGGAACUAGUGAUCCGGCGGUGGCAUGUGGGAGCACCGUCGCUCAACGGAUAAAAGGUACCCCGGGGAUAACAGGCUGAUCUUCCCCAAGAGUCCAUAUCGACGGGAUGGUUUGGCACCUCGAUGUCGGCUCGUCGCAUCCUGGGGCUGGAGUAGGUCCCAAGGGUUGGGCUGUUCGCCCAUUAAAGCGGCACGCGAGCUGGGUUUAGAACGUCGUGAGACAGUUCGGUCCCUAUCCGCUGCGCGCGCAGGAGACUUGAGAAGGGCUGCCCCUAGUACGAGAGGACCGGGGUGGACGAACCUCUGGUGUGCCAGUUGUUCCGCCAGGAGCACGGCUGGUUGGCUACGUUCGGGAGUGAUAACCGCUGAAAGCAUCUAAGCGGGAAGCACGCUUCAAGAUGAGGUCUCCCACCGAGUUAAUCGGGUAAGGCCCCCAGUAGACCACUGGGUUGAUAGGCCAGAGGUGGAAGCGCCGUAAGGUGUGGAGCUGACUGGUACUAAUAGGCCGAGGGCUUGUCUG